CCUAAUAUGGACUUCUUUCAAAAAAUCAAAGUUCAAUUUCCAGCACUUGAAACGUAGCGGAAGAUGGUGAAAUUCAUCCAUGUCCAGGAAAGCCUGCAGCAUGUCCGGGUAAUUGCUUAAUUGCGUUUACAAGAAUCAAUGUUACCAGUGGAGCGUUUCCAUGUUCUGCGUAAUUCAACUUUUAUUUUCGUUCCUGCUUUCAUACUUUCGAUUAUUUUAAUGUUGAUUUAUUGUUUCGUUAAUAACGUGUUGUGUGUAUUAUUGAAAAUUGAGUGGUUUGGUGUGUAUAAUUAAACAAUGCGUGUAUGUGUAUAUAUUAUAAUACACAGUGUCCAUUAUUUCAAAGAAUCGAGAAUUCUGGUUUAUGUGGAUUAAUCUAUAUACACGGAUCAGAUGGGCAAAACAUCUUCCAUUAUGAUAGGGCUAAAAUAUUUGUGAUUUCUGGUAAGAACUAAGGGUUUGCAAGAAUUCGUCCUUUUACUGACAUAUUUGUGUAACUCUGCUUAAUUACUGUGUAAUUAAGUGACAAAAUAUUGUUUAGGCGCAGAGUGUAACGUGUCAAACAUGGUGUUAGGCAUUAGAGUGGGGUAGCUUCAUAUUGCGUUGCUUGCUUUAAAAUGAGAGAUGGCUGGCUGGAUCAUUCCGCUCUUAGGACUGAACAUAGUUAAUGCUUGAUAAUCAUUUGCAUAAAUUGAAUUGGAUCGAUUUUAAAACUGUGAACUUGCUUUGUCAGUGAAGAUUUAGAAAAUUAGCAAUAUCAUUUCGACUAGGAUUUAGUUGUCAAGACUACAAAGAUUCAAUCAUUUGAAUGCAGGCAAUUAUUCAGAUUGGAGAUGAUUCUUCCUUUUGGUGAUUAAUAAACAGAUGUAUACACUACACAUUCGAUCAGUUGAGACUUGAACCCACAAUGUAUGCUUGUGCUUAAUAAACUAUAGGAGAUUGAUUAGUAUAUCUGAUUUGGAUUGUACCAUAUUGAAUCUUAUAGCUGAGAAACCUGGUCUUUGGUUCCAUGUAAUUGUUUCAAGAACUUUAUUUCUUGAAUAAAACUUAACCUUGAUUUUAUUAUUUAAUGAAAAAGAAGAUAGAGAAAUCCAAAUAGCAGAUCAACAUUCAGUCAAGGCAUUCUGGAAAGUUUCAUGGCCUUCCAGUUUAAGUUGAAAGACUCCAACAUUCCGAACCUAAUGGAUUGAUUUUUUCUGCAUGAUAUAUAAAAGGUAGCCUUGUCAUUGUUCCUUGGAGUUCUUAUUCAGCAUCAGAAUUAAUUAUUAAAUAGUCUGUGUUCCCUUUGGUUCAUACUUCCUUGAAAAUUUAUUAUUAAAAACUAAAAUGCAUCAGGUUUCUUUAAAAAUAAAUAUUCUAGAACCAGUUUGGUGUUCCUUUGACAUGAUUGAAGUUUAAUUUCCUUGAGAGAAUGAUUGCUUAAUUCAAUCAAGGGCAUUAAAGAUGGUGCUUUGACCAUGCUCUUUUUGUGGAAGCACGCUGGAAUUUAAAAUGUUCAAUUUCAAUGAUGGUAGCUUUUGAAAUAUGGAUGAGUUGAUUAAAACAAAUCAAAAGGGAAGAAGUUCAAAAUUGAUGGAAUGAAACGAAAAAAGUAAUUUCUCCCUUACUCAUCUUUUUACCCUUUUUCCCCACGGGGUUGUUAGAGAAUGAACACGUAUAUUUAAAUUUAGUCUUCCACACACACUCCCUCAGGUGCACGCCAGAUUCAUAUUUUAUUCAAAUUGAACUAUCUCAUCUAAAAUUUUAACAGUUAGAGACGAGAAAAAUGUAUUUAUUCAAGUUUAGUCUUCAAUACGGGGGUGGGAUUAGAGGAGAUGAUGACUCAUUGGCCAUAUACGGUCAGAUAAAUAAAAAAAAAAAAAACUGGGAGGAUUUAAAAUGGAGAAAAAACCAAAAUUGAAGCAGAUGUACUUCAGAAAUCCUCCCCUGUUCCUUCCUCCAAAAACACAUCCACAUACAAAACAAAUAAAAAAUAGAUGUGAGGCAAGUAUAAACAUCUGAAAUUUGUGACGGUAGUGAUGGUUGGAAAUGUUAGACAAAAAUGCAGAAUAUAAUAAUAUUAUAUGUAGUAAUUAAAGAAAGAACACAAGGGAACAUUGUGUGUUCUUAACAAAAACAAUACAGAAUCAUUAUCCUUUGAAGAAAUUGCAGUAAACUUCAGAAAUGAACAAGUAUAUCACUUGAAAUAAGAUGGCUUACUUCUUCCUCCGUGUUUUUUAUGGUUGGCAUGCCUUUUCUUUAAAGCAAGCAAGCAACUCUACUGUAUAUAAGCUUUUAGAAAGGAACAUAGUGCAUUACUGUUAAAAAGGCCUUACACAUAGCAUAGUGCGUUUAUGUUUGGGUUAAGCUAAAUCACUCUUCGAACUUCAUUCUCAAAAGAGUCCAAACUGUAAAAUUUAAGAACAAAGUAUGUGGGAAUAUUCUGCAUAACAAUGAAUCAUCCCAUGCUUUUUCUAGCUUCUAGGUGAUCUUUAAAGCACUUCUUAUAACACAUCAAAAAGUGGGAUCAAAUUUUCUGUUUUUUGACUUUAUUAGCCAUGAAAAUAUUCACUUCCAAGACUGGCAACCCCACAAGUGGCCCAUAUCUUUAUAAUGAUGAUCUUUCUUUAAUGGCUGCUCAUAAAGGCUCUUUCUUUAAUGGCUGCUCAUAGAGGCUGCCUUAGCUGUCACUUCUCUCUUAUAAUGUGUACACACACAAACACAUAUAUUAGCAAAAGAAAAUACAAUAAAUAUACUUGUGCUGCAAGUAUAUUUCUGCUUGGAACUACUCAUUAUAAAGUCAAGUGAGAGAUUAGAUAUAUAGGUAAACAUAACACAGAAUGAUAGCUUAACUUCUUUGGGGGCUAUAUACAAAGCCUGUAUGCUUAUUACUGUACAUUUCUUUGCCGUGUAAUCUUUGAUCAAUUGUCUAGCUAGAAGCCAAACCCCAGUGGAAAAGCCGCUCUUUUUGUUGUCUAAAAAUGAUUCCUGAAUCCGAAACAUCCUUAGAACUCCCUGUAUUAGACAUUUCUCAGCAAUUGUGCACAUCUUCUUUGUCUUCUCUGGCUGCAGCCUGCAAAGAAUGGGGUUUCUUCCUAAUCAUUAAUCAUGGAAUCUCCAAAAAUCUCUACAACAAAAUUUGUACUCUCUCAAGAAAUGUUUUCAGCCUCCCUAUUGAGACAAAACUUAAACUAGGUCCUUUAUCACCUCAUAAGACUUAUACUCCUCAUUUCAUAGCCUCACCCUUCUUUGAGAGCCUUAGAGUUUCAGGAUCAGACUUCACAGACUCUGCUCAGAGUUCUUUAGAUGUUCUCCUAGGUGAACAUGAUUCAGAAUUCAGGUGAGGCUUUUUAUGAAAAUGAUAUCUUUUUUAAUACUUGUUCACGCCUUUUUUCAGGUUAAGAGAUGAAAACAUUUUCAAUGAUUUAAUUAGUCCUUUUGUCUUCACAGUGAGGUAUUGCAAGAAUAUGGGAGCAAAAUGUCUGAGUUAUCUAAGAGAGUCCUUAAGCUCGUAUUAUCAACUGUAGGAGAUGGAAUUGAGACAAAUUAUUAUGAUUCUGAGUUUAAGAAUUGCCAUGGAUAUUUGAGAAUAAACAACUAUACUGCUCCAGAGAGUUUCGACGGAGAAGCUGAGGGUCUUGGGAUGCAUACUGAUAUGAGCUGUGUAACAAUUGUGUAUCAAGAUGAAAUAGGAGGGCUUCAAGUGAGAACGACGGAUGGAAAAUGGAUGAACAUCGUUCCAUCUGAAGGAACCUUAGUGGUAAAUCUUGGUGACAUGUUACAAGCUUGGAGCAAUGAACGAUUCAGAUCAUCGGAGCAUAGGGUUGUUCUGAAGAAGCCCGUAAAUCGAUUCUCUCUAGCUUUCUUCUGGUGCUUUGAGGACGAGAAAGUGAUAUUAGCACCCGAUGAAGUUGUUGGUGAAGGAAAUAAAAGGAUUUAUAAGCCAUUUAUAUGUUCAGAUUAUUUAAAAUUCCGUGAGAGCAAUGAGAAAGGCAAGUUUGAGAAAGUUGGAUUUACAGUUAAAGAUUUUGCUGGGAUUGGAUUUCCAAUGUAAAAGGCAGAAUCUGGGCGUUUGUUUUAUAGAAGCCACAAAGUUCUUCCAAUCAUCAGGCUCUAGGCUUAGAGUAGGAUAUUGCAAUGUUAAAAGCAUUUUUUAUCUAGUUGGUUUGUCAUAUUAUGUGCUAAAAAUAAUUGUUUAUGUACUCCAAUUGGAGAACAAGGUGUAAGGAAGGAGGGUGGUUGAGUUUCAAGGGCUUUGACCUAUUAGUUGUUGAUUAUAAAAGCAUUGUACAGUUGGAAUUCCAACUUCCAACUUGAGUAUGUGGAUUUAGUUUCAUAUUGUGCUUGUCUUGUUCUGUUUAUGCAAUGUGCAAAAUUUGUCUUUAUGCACCAAAGUCAAUUCUAGAUGCAUGACUGUUUGUUUUAUCCAUCUUUCUCCAAAAUAUGCUCUCUAAGAAAAUGCUUGGUCAACUUAAUUCUCUUGCCAGCACAUGAGUUUACAUAGUCAGAGUUUGGUUACACCUACCGCAAGAAAUUUUGCAAUUAGGGCACAUUAGUCUAAAAAUCUUCGUAAUUGUAAUACAGAUGAAAUCAGAGUCAAUGCAUACCUUUGUGGUGUUAUACUCCAUUUAAUUCCAUGAGUGGACGUGACGGCUGACAACUUACGUUACGAAUCUUGUCCCGUCCAACCAACCAUGUCCUUAAUGCACAAAAGUAACAUUGUUAGUUGAUUUGAUUUCCUAAAAAUCCAAUAUACGAGGCUUCUGAACUUUGCAUUUAGCUGAAAUAAAUAUACAAGCAAUCGUGAGCCUAAUAGGUAUACAUAUCCAAUAUCUGUAUUAUUAUGUUAGAGAUUUUGAUCAUUGGUCAUGUUAUAAACUGCUUUCUUUAAGCACCUAAGCCGUGUGAUUUAUGUUGUAUUUGCCAAAAAUCUAGAUUUUUUAUCAUCAAGUAAAUAAGCAAUGAACCGAAUAGACUGAUAAAAAAUUAAGCAUAUAGAUAGUUUUUAGUUUGCUGUACACACAUUUAAAUGUUGAUCCCAAGUGAUCGUGGAUGUACAAACCCCCAUCCCUCACAAUAAUUAAAGGUUAGUCGUUUGCUUUUCUAUUAUAUAAUGCAUACAGUUCUGGUCGCUGGUCAUCCUGUUGAAUGGCAUGUAAGUAUUAGCUGCUUGUGGUCCAAAGAUAGAAAUUUAAGUUGCUUUUGUUGACAUAUUGACAUAAUGUAUAAAAGUUUAGUGCAAAUUACACUAAACAUUGCAUAAAGUAGGCCACUAUUUUUGUUAUUGUAGACAUAGACAGAUUGCUGAUAAAAUACUCUUCGACUUAAUCUCAGUUUGUCACCACAGUCAUCUGUCCUAAAGUUGCUUUAAUUAACAUGUUCAUCUUUUUGUUCCAUAACNNNNNNNNNNNNNNNNNNNNNNNNNNNNNNNNNNNNNNNNNNNNNNNNNNNNNNNNNNNNNNNNNNNNNNNNNNNNNNNNNNNNNNNNNNNNNNNNNNNNNUAAAAAAAAAAAAAAAAAAAGGAGUCAAAAAAAAAAAAAGACAAAAAAAAAAAGAGUCAAAUUUUUUUUUUAAAUUUUAAAUUUUGAGAAUUUCCUGAUAUUCUUUUAUAGGUACAUUAUUUCCUCGACGAACACGGAAUUUUCUAUUUUGGCAUCUCAGCGCUUACCAGUUCAGGACGUGGAGACAUUCAACGCUAGGACGACUCAGGCCAACUGAACUCAGGGAGUCUCUGAUCCUAUUCAUUUUAGUGACACUGUUACUAUAUUUUAGAAUUGCAUCAAUAAUUCUUUGUGUCGCUAAUAUUUUGAUAAUUUAGCCUUAAAUCUAUUGAAUUGAUAUUCAUGAGCCGACCCCAUUGUUCACUUGUUUACCCCACGUGACUAGACCUAGCAUUUGUACCUUUGUUUUAUUUUAUUUUAUUGACAUUAGUAGUAUUAGCUUGCGAUCGGGUCAUACGUAAUCCCUACAAUAAAAUAAGAUAAUAAUAACAAUAAAUGAAUUUUAGUCACUAUUUCCCUGCUAGCCCUCGUUGGUUGUUGAUCUCAGUAGACACUUCACCUAGCUUGUGUUACCGUGUAUGCAAUUGCGUAGUGAUCGCGUUACUGCCUCUAGCUCUAGUACCGUUGUCAUGGACCCUCCCCACAUUGAAACUAUCACCCGACAGUUGGCACAAUUACAAAAUCAAUUAACGGCUGUCCAAACUAAGUUAGCCGCUAUACGUGAGGAGAAUAGAGCCCUUACCGCUAGGGUAAACACUCUUGACCCAACCCAAUACUCAACUGAGGCUGAAAAUUCUGACGCUUCCAUUAAUAGACCUCAUCGUCGUCCACAAGGUGGUCGACACCAUGCCAGACAUGAUCGUAGGGAAGGGAAUCAAGCUCGUGGACGCGAGCGGGAAUAUCACCGUCAUGGUACACCGUCCCCCCCUCGCCACGAGGAGCGCCUCUUUCGAAAUAUUAAGUUAGAUGCCCCUACAUUUGAUGGUUGUCUAGAUCCUAGCGUAUUCAAUCAAUAGGUUAGGGAUAUGGAUCGUUUUUUGCAUGGUAUGGGGUCCCUGAAGAUCAAAGGGUACAAUUUGCCAGUUUGAAAUUAACUGGCACAGCUCAACUGUUUUGGGAAAGCGUUGAGGACCUCCUAGAGAUGCGUCAUGCUCCCCCUGUUGGGAAUUGGGAUGAAAUGAAGCGUCGCCUUGAAGAAAAAUAUUUACCUCAAUCUUACAGGGGCAACUUGCUGGAUCAAUGGAACGCACUUACACAAGGCAGUCGACCUGUGACCGAAUAUGUUGCUCAGUUUGACGAGUUUCGAAUGAGAUGUUAGGUCGUUGAGGACGAAGUCAUGACUUUGAGUAGGUUUAGGUAAGGCCUACGGGAUGAUCUUAGACGUGAGCUUGUUCUUAGAGGUGUCACCACUCUUGACCACGCCUACUCUUUCGUUCGGGAUUACGAGUUAGUGACUAUGACACCGUACAGAAGUCAUAGGGACUCCCGCACUGCUACCUCUUCUGCAUCCGCUCCACCCCCUAAGUCUAUUUUAGAACCUCCUCCUUCUAAUCUUACCCCUACAUCCGAUAGUAAAGGUAGAGGUUCUGAGGUUUCAAGAACUUCCUCUCGUUUGCAAUGCUUCAACUGUAAGGGUUUUGGUCACAUUGCUUCUAAAUGUCCUAGUCGAGCCCUAGUUUUGGAAGAGCGUGAAGGUAUAGUUGACGAGCCACUAGAGGAUCAGGUGUAUGAGCCUAAAUUAGAAGAGUUUGAUGACUUGGAGGACAAUGAAGAUACCUUCUUGGGUUGUAUCCAGGCUAGUCCCCUUAUCCCACAUAUACCUAGAGUCGGUGUCGUCCGUUGUACUCUUACCCAGCCGAGGGAUGCCGAUGAUUGGCGCCGUCAUGCCAUCUUCCACACUUACAUCAAGAUUAAUAAUAAGGACUGUAAAGUCAUCGUGGAUAGUGGCAGCUGCAUUAAUGCAGUUUCGAUGAUUACCGUAUCCCGUCUAGGGUUGAAGUCUGUUCCUCACCCUCAGUCAUACAGCGUCUCUUGGGUUGAUACCUCCUCCAUGGCUGUCAAGGAGCGUUGUUUAGUCCCUAUCCAGUUUCUCGAGUAUAAGGCCAUAUAUGGUGUGACGUCAUUUCAAUGGACGUCGGGCACAUCAUCUUGGGACGACCUUGGUUAUUUGACUUGGAUGUAACCAUCUAUGGUCGAUCCAAUUCCUGCUCCUUCGUGUUUAAUGGAAAGAAGAUUCACCUUAACCCACUGCCUCCGAAGCCUGUUGGCCUACUGGAAACGAAGAAAAGUGUGGAAUGAAAGGGAUUGCAUAUCAUUAGUCCUAUGGAGUUUGAGCGUACACUUGUUAGUGACUCGGUUGUCUUCACUUUGGUAGUCAUGGAGGUCCCAUCACACUCUACAAUAGAGAGCCCUGUUGAAGUCCUAUUGGUCCUCCAAGAGUUUCGAGACGUCUUUCCAGAAGACCUCCCUGAUCAUCUACCUCCACUAAGGGAUAUUCAACAUGCCAUAGACUUCGUUCCGGGAGCAUCUCUCCCAAAUUUGCCUCAUUAUAGGAUGAAUCCUUCCGAGCACGCUGAGCUUCAAAGGCAAGUGGAUGAUCUCCUUCACAAGGGAUUCAUUCGUGAGAGUUUAAGCCCGUGUGUGGUCCCCGUCCUACUGACGCCCAAAAAGGAUGGGUCUUGGCGAAUGUGUGUGGAUAGUCGCGCGAUUAAUAGGAUCACGGUGAAAUAUCGUUUUCCAAUUCCUAGACUUGACGAUAUGUUAGAUAUGAUGGUUGGUGCCACAAUCUUUUCGAAGAUUGAUCUGAAGAGUGGAUACCAUCAAAUUCUAAUUCGCUCGGUGAUGAGUGGAAGACUGCGUUUAAGACGAAAGAUGGUCUUUAUGAAUGGCUGGUCAUGCCUUUUGGGUUGAGCAAUGCGCUAAGUACCUUUAUGCGAGUAAUGACACAAACUCUCCGACCUUUCAUGGGUAAGUUUCUUGUUGUCUACUUUGAUGAUAUCCUCAUCUAUAGUAAAACUAAGGAGCAACACCUUGACUACCUCACGCAAGUUUGCUCUACCCUUCGUGCAACUAAUCUAUAUGCGAAUGUCAAGAAGUGCUCCUUCUUCACUGACACAGUCGUUUUUCUGGGGUUCAUUGUCUCUUCGACAGGGGUGUCCGCUGACCCUGCUAAGGUUCAGGCGAUCAUUGACUGGCCUGAGCCCAAAGUUAUUCAUGACGUCAGGAGCUUUCACGGCUUAGCUACGUUUUACCGUCGCUUUAUUAAGGGGUUUAGCACUAUUAUGGCGCCCAUUACGGAGUGCAUGAAGAAAGGGGAGUUUCAUUGGACACGAGAGGCGGCUAAGGCCUUUAAGUUAGUCAAAAAGCGAAUGACGGAGGCCCCUGUCAUGCGUCUUCCCGAUUUUUCCAAAGUCUUUGAAGUUGUGUGACGCCUCCGGGGUAGGCAUAGGCGGAGUUUUAAGUCAGGAUCGUCACCCUGUUGCCUAUUUUAGUGAGAAGUUAAAUGAGGCCAAACAGCGAUACUCAACUUAUGAUAAGGAACUGUAUGCAGUGGUCCAGGCUUUGCGCUAUUGGCGCCACUAUUUGUUACCCCAAGAAUUUGUCCUUUAUUCAGAUCACGAGGCCCUCCGUUACCUCAACUCCCAGAAAAGAUUAAGUUCUAGGCAUGGUCGUUGGGUCGAAUAUUUACAGGCCUAUUCAUUUGUUUUAAAACACAAGAAGGGUGUAGAGAACCAAGCAGCUGAUGCGUUAAGUCGUCGUGUCUCCCUUUUGUUGAUCAUGAGUGUCAAGGUCAUCGAUUUUGAAAGACUUAAGGAGGAUUACGAGGUGUGUCCUGAUUUUAAAGAUAUCUUUCUCGAUUUACAAAGAGGACAAUCAAGCGCCACAAAUGGCUUCCGACUUGAGGAGGGUUAUCUCUUUAGAGCCAAUAAAUUGUGCAUCUCUCGAACUUCAGUGCGAGAUUUCAUCGUGUGGAAAAUUCAUGCGGGAGGGUUAGCCGGUCAUUUUGGACGUGAUAAGACUAUAGAGAAAGUUGAACGUCAAUUCUAUUGGCCUAGCUUGAAGAAAGACGUGGCUAAAAUUGUUAGUACUUGUGACACUUGUCAAUUGAGUAAGCAGAAGAAGCAAAACACAGGUCUGUACACCCCUCUCCUUGUCCCUAAUUGUCCUUGGCAAGAUAUUAGUAUGGAUUUUGUGUUAGGACUUCCACGCACCCCAAAGAAGCAUGACUCCAUUUUUGUGGUUGUCGAUCGCUUCUCAAAGAUGGCUCAUUUUAUCCCCUGUAGCAAGACGUCGGAUGCAUCCAAGGUUGCCCUGUUGUUCUUUAAUGAAAUUGUCAAAUUGUAUGGGCUUCCCAAGACCAUCGUGUCUGAUAGGGACGUUCGUUUCACUAGCCAUUUUUGGAGGACUUUGUGGCACAAGAUGUGUACCAAAUUGAAAUUUUCUAUGGCCUAUCACCCCCAAACUGACGGUCAAGCUGAAGUAGUUAAUCGAAGCCUUGGUAACCUAUUACGUUGUCUGGUCCGGGAAAACCUUCUAAAUUGGGAUUUGAUCCUUCUUGUAGCUCAAAUUGCGUACAAUAGCUCUAUAAAUCGUUCACUGGGUAUGAGUCCAUUUGAAACCAUUCAUGGGUACAAGCCUAGGAAACCGUUAGAUCUCAUCCCUAUGUCCCCACAGGCUAGAGUGUCAGUAUCAGCCGAAGCAUUUACACAACAUCUUCGUGACUUGCAUAUUGAGAUCAAUAAACAACUUGAAGCUAGUAAUGCAACAUAUAAACUCCAAACUGAUUUACACAAACGACAUAUUGAGUUUAACAUUGGGGAUUACGUUAUGGUUCGCAUUAGGCCAGAGCGGCGUCUACAUGGACCCGCCUCUAAAUUGCAAGCUCGUAGUGCUGGUCCUUUUAAAAUUUUAAAGCAGGUUGAUCCAAAUGCAUAUAUUGUUGACAUUCCACCAUACCUUGGUUACCACUCUACUUUCAAUGUUGAGGACCUUGUAGCUUAUAAAGGUCAUUUCAUUCCCUCAGAUAAUCCUCUGUCUUCUCCUAUUGUGGACCUUGACCCUGAUUCUUUGACCCCUUAUAACCCACUACCACCUCUCACAGCACACAAAGAAAAAAUUGAUGCUAUUUUAGAUGAAGAAACUGUGUUCACUACUGAUGGAGAGGUUCAGCGCUUCCUUGUUCGUUGGAUUGGUCGACCAGAUUGUGACUGUGCAUGGAUCUCCAGGGAGACACUACAGCAAUUGGACCCAGAUUUGUUAGAGUUUUAUCGGAGUCAGCAGGAUCUUCAUUGGCCCAGAUCGCCUCCCGUCCACCCGAGAGGAGUUGGUGAGGACACCAGGUUCAGGCCGCCACUGACGCAUUUCUACAGACGCCGGAAGAAGCUUGCCCAGCCACUCAGCCUAUGGUUGGGAGAUUGACGGAUACCUAUGGUGAUAUAGCCACUCGACAGGGUCGAGUUUUCUCUCCCACCCCGGGAGAAUUGAUGAGGACAUCCAGUUUUAAUUAUUUUAGCAGUUUUAAUUAUUCUAGUUGGAUUUAGGUUAUUUUAAUUUUAUGGACUUGUGUAUUGGGCUUGGCCUAAGGUUUGCAGUAUUUUUUAGUAUUUAAACCUAUUUUACAUUGUUAUUUUCAGUUGAUGAAUUUGAUUAAAUAAAGAGUUGGCUUGCAGCCGUUUGUCCUCUCUUCCCCGCCUCUGUCUUCUUCUUCUCCCCUCUUCUCCCUUCUCUUCUUAUUAUACUUACUGAAUUAUUCUACAUCAAUAACGAUCUCCAACAGGGCCUGCUUAACAGCCCUUUGGUUGUUGAGCGUUCUAAUAUAUGUUUCGUCUCUUUUUUUUUUUUUUUUUUUUUUUUUUUUGGGCGGGUUUGUUGGAUUCAUGUCUGAACAUAGCCAGAAUUUAUAUAUAAGAUAUCUUAUUUGACUAGUUACGAGUCGUGCUUGUUUUAUUUGAUAGUUUUAAUUCAAAGCUUUUUUGAGCACUUCAGUGUUCAAUCUCCAUUCAUUCAUAUUUGUCAUAUUUCUUUCUUAAUCACUAUUCUCUCGUAAUAAUUUAUUUCUAGUGAGGCCAUUUAGGCACAACGCCUCGGUCCACCCAACUAGCCAGAUGGGCAUGGUCCAGCAAAAAAAUUGGUUGCUGUCUUGCCGAGGUUUGAGCCGCCGUCCCGUGAGAAAAUGUCGGCCUUUCGAGAAUUAAUUUUUGAAUAAUUGGG
RNAcentral lists this long non-coding RNA (11690 nucleotides) under Olea europaea (common olive). Its description in RNAcentral is "long non-coding RNA (OEUR_LNC001062)". Lineage: Eukaryota; Viridiplantae; Streptophyta; Magnoliopsida; Lamiales; Oleaceae. The record is from RNAcentral.